CCAGCUCCAAUAGCGUAUAUUAAAGUUGUUGCAGUUAAAAAGCUCGUAGUUGGAUUUGUGGAUGGGUUGUGGGAUACGUCCUCAUGGACGCAAUCCUUUCGGCUUGUUCAUCUUUGGUUGGAAUCUGCGUGGCAUUAAGUUGUCGUGCAGGGGAUGGCCAUCGUUUACUGUGAAAAAAUUAGAGUGUUCAAAGCAGGCUUAUGCCGUUGAAUAUAUUAGCAUGGAAUAAUGAGAUAGGACCUUGGUACUAUUUUGUUGGUUUGCGCACCGAGGUAAUGAUUAAUAGGGACAGUUGGGGAUAUUUGUAUUUCAUUGUCAGAGGUGAAAUUCUUGGAUUUCUGAAAGACAAACUACUGCGAAAGCAUUUAUCAAGGAUGUUUUCA
RNAcentral lists this ribosomal RNA (383 nucleotides) under Ulnaria ulna. Its description in RNAcentral is "SSU rRNA". It matches the Rfam family "Eukaryotic small subunit ribosomal RNA", at positions 585 to 972 of the family's 1831-position model. RNAcentral also lists the same sequence under 1 other name. The record is from RNAcentral. Lineage: Eukaryota; Bacillariophyta; Fragilariophyceae; Fragilariales; Fragilariaceae.